This is an RNA transcript of Nasonia vitripennis (jewel wasp), 6596 nucleotides long. RefSeq lists it as uncharacterized. NCBI's taxonomy places the organism in Eukaryota, Metazoa, Arthropoda, Insecta, Hymenoptera, Pteromalidae. The transcript is spliced from 10 exons. The record is from RefSeq and is a predicted model, not a curated record.
UCCGCCGUCGCUCGUCGCACCGCCGUCCGCCACUCGCCAGUAUCGCGUCGGUCCUCGCGCGCUACACACAGCCGCAGCAUUACAGUUCGUUGCUCGCCGCUGCCGAGUCUGAACACGCAUACCUAUAUACCUGUAUUAUAUACCGGCAGCACACUCGCGGUCUUCUCGUCUAUCUCCUCGGACGAUAGACCCUCUCUCUCUCGCGGCUGCAAACGCACGUAUUCACACACUGUAGCUUGCAGGGCCAGUAUAUAGAGUAGUUAGCAUACGAUCCGUGCGCAGGAUGUUUGGGCUUCGGUGCACGAUCGCCGAUGUUUGAUACAGAAGUGGAUAUUUUCGAGGGGAACGCUCGCGAGCCGGAGCGGCGCCCGCGGAAUGAUAUCGCAGUGCUUCAGUGCUUCUUGAGUUCUUAUCAUACCACCUGCUGAAGAGGUGUACCAGUGACGAAACUUGCAGUUUUUCCAAGUGAUACCCUGUGACAUUCCGUGUGCGGACACUGCCGGAGAGGACUUUACCGCCGCCGGAGCCGACCGGGAUUCAUCGUUCCUGCUGCCUUGGGUGAACGAGCCUGCUGCAGCGCUGCUGACAUCAUAUCGGGCCAAGAACCCGCGACUGUCAACAAAUGGAGCAUAGACGGCCAAGCAGGUCGAAGCAGCAGGAGCAGCCGCAAGAAGCCCAUCUUCGCCGCCGCAGCCAUCUGAACCUCGACGAAUAACAGCGCGUACCUCACUCGAAGAGCGCGCGCGGCCGGAAAGCUGGGUGAGCUGUGUCAUUGGAGAAAAAUUUGCAAAUCUAAGGGCAUCAUUCGGUCUUCCAAGGAGACUGUCGCGCACGUCCUGCUGCAGGGAUGGCAGCGACCGACGGCCAGAUAAUAGUGGCGGCAGCCCGCUGGGCCGACGAGGCCACGUAUCUGCGCGACUUUGUCGGCAAGUAUCGGCUGCCCGCCGUCAUCAAGAUCACCAAGGGCCAGUACGGCGGCCUCGGCGUGCCCACCCUGCCCGCACCCGGCCUGCAGAGCACCGCGCUACUCGUGUCUGCCGGCCGGAGGCGCAAGAUCGUCGCCCAGGCUGUCAAAAUUAAGGAGGGACGCCGAGUGGUAGGCGUGGGACCUCGGCUGGCGAUUCCGGACUCGUACGUGGGCUACUUCGAGAUUCUGAGCGAGGAGGGCCGCGCGGUGCGGGGCAUCGAGUCCGUCAGCGAGCUCGCCCGGCGAUGUCCGGAGGAGGGCGCCCUAGUCCGCGAAACGGUGCGCGCCGUCGCGUGCAAGCUCGACGAGUCGGGCAUCGUCGUGCCAGAGGGCAGUCGCAGCCUCGCCGCCGGCGAGACGAUCGCCGUGCUCGGUGAGCUGAGCCUGCCGGGCCGGGGACGCUUCCUGCGCUGCGUCGACUGUCGGGGCGACAACGUUCUCCUGCCCAUGGACCAGAGGGCGCGGUUCAGUGCGCUCGCGCGCGAGGACAACAUCAGCGGCGUUCACACGGCCAGGGCGCUCCUGAGCAAGAGGCUGCCCCUCACAGUCCGGCUCGUCCACGGGCAGCCGCCCAGGGGACUCAAGUCAUCCUCUCAGUUCUUGCCCGAGCUCAGACUGCUCUCGAGCUUCGAGGAGGAGCACGUGUUCGCGCUGCCGCUGCAGAGGGAGGGCGCUGCGGUCGCGCUGCCCCUCGCCGCUCCGCUCAAGCUGGUCAAGGCGAGGAACGAGGAGGCGCUCAGAGCGAUGCCCGAGUUCACGAGGCUCGUCGACAGGGCGUCGAGGCUCGUGGCCGACGUAGCCGACAGAGCACACGUACUCGACGGGCGACUGGGCGAGAGCAAGCCCAGCCGGCAGGCGCGGAGCGGUGGUUUUCUGCGGCGCUCGGCGAGUUCGGAUAACGCGAACGCGCCGAGUCACCAUCGGCAUAGUCACAGCGCCCACCAUCAUCAUUACCAUCACCAGCACAGCGUACCGGGACACGGCUACGGCCGCGACGAGAACAGAGUGCCUCCGGCCUCCUACACCGAGGAGUACGACGAGAUCGACCAAAUCUACGACUACGUCAGGGGCUUCGCGCCUCUGCCCAAGAGCGUCAGGUCGCCAUACGAGACUCCCGCGCCCCUCGGCAACGGACUUUGCAGCAGUAAUCAACAGAACAACGGCCUGGGUAGCCCGGCGUUGACGCCGGUGACAGUGACGAUCGCGCCGCUGCUGGACGACAGACCAGAGCCGCCGCCGAUCGAGACGAUACCCACGAAGAAGAACCAGGCUGAGAAGCGAACACGUCGCGCCGUCAAGGAGACUCUACCGCCGACGACCACGACGACGACGUCGAUGGCUCACCACCGCGUGGAGAAGCCGCCGCUGGCCAAGCUCUACGUGAAGAACAGCGGCACACAGCGCGGCCGGCCGCUCAUGAGGCAAAAGAGUGCCUCGCCGCUCAAGGAGACGCCGCCGGGCUUCAAGGGUGGCUCGCCGCUCUUCAACAUUCGCUACAAGAGCCUGACGAAUCUGCAGCAGGCCAUGGAGCUCGACGGCACGCUCGACUCGAGCCACUCGGGCGGCAGAACCUCGGGAGACUCCGGUGCCGGUGCCAAGCUGCCCGAAAAGAGCUUACAUUAUACGGAAUUCGAACGAGCUAACAGGCAUCUCAUCCGUAGGCUUAUCAACAAGAGCUUAUGUCCGAUUUUAAUAUUGUCCAAGAAAAAUCGCGGCGACUGAGCAGACCGCGCUCCUUGACGAACCUCGUCUGGGAGCUGCGCAACGGAAGCGGCAUCGGCGGCGGCUGUGUCAGACCGGAAACGCCGCCAACGCAGACGGUGGCACCCCUGCCGCCAACCAAAUGCGGACCCCGGCUCGCCGUCACCGUCGUCGCACCCAGGCGCGUCGGGACACUCUACCUCUAACACAUCGACGUAAUGCCGAAAGACUCAAAGAAGCGUAUGAGUGAAGCCGAUCUCCGAUAAAUCGUGACAAAUCAAAAGAAGAUUAGAGAAGGAUGCAGAUUCAUAUAGAUGACGCAUAGAUGCAUCGAUUAUAUAACUUUAAAAAACUAAGGCCAGGAAAUCAACGCGAGGAGAGGAAAACCCAAAGCUCAAACCACAAACCACGCGGAAGAUUCUCCCGACAUCAAAACUCUAUUAUAAUUGAAGCAUAAAUUGAUGUAUUCCGUUGUACUGAUCGAUCAUGGAUCUUCCGAUAUAUUUAUUCGCGCAGCCCAGCAGAACCCAAGCUUUACUUCUUGAGUACUCUUGAGUCAUAAGAAAUAAGUCAUUAUAUCGUGUGCGUCUUUGUGUAGCUUUCUAUUUUAUCGUGUACUUUCUCGUGUUUAGGCGAAUAAAAAUUCGAGUACUGUGAAAAGGGUUCCGCGGGAUUUUGCGACCAAUAAUGGGCUCGUCGUAUAUGGCUAAUUGGAUGAUCGCGCGUAUUAAGAGUUGCAUGAUUUUUUAAAUUCAGAAAUCCCUUGUUGUUUCUCAUUUUAGUGGAUUAUAUACUAAUUCUAUUACACAAUAUUUCUAUUCUCUAUGAUAUUUCAAAAGCUGACGAGAUUACUUUGAUGAAAGCCACUCAACGAUGCGAGUGGCUUUCAUUAAAAUGUCUUGACGGUCUUUAAAAUAAAUAUAAAUUAUAGGAUUAGAAUAAUUAUUAUUAGGCUAUAGAAUCUACUAAAACAUAAGCUUUGUAAACGCCACAUAAAAUCAUUAAAUGUUGCACAAAAUCUAUUUGAGUAGAUUUUAUUCAACCGUUUUGUACAUUUUGGAUAAUAACAUGCUAAAUCGUCAAUUGCAUACAGAAGAUACAAUUUGACGUUGAGUGUUAUAUCGAGUCUUAGUUAUAAUUUUGCUGCGUUAGCAAAUUUUUCGCUAAGACAGAAGAAUAAUCUCUCGGUAUGCAAACAAAAAAAACUUAUGUGAUUACUAGUUAUUACCAUCUGAUUACUAGACAAAAACUGAAAUAAUGCGAUCAGCCAAUGUUUCCAUAUGUGAAUCUCCUUGCAGCGAUUUUUAAGAUGAAACGGCGAAGAAAAAAUGUAGAGCCUUACAUGCGUUAUGAGAUUUAUACAUUUUAAAAAACGAAAGAAAAGCGUUGUGUAAUUUGAAGGAGCGUGAUGAUAAAGAUAAUGAUAACGAUGACAAUGACGACGACGACGACGAUGAUGAUGAUGAUGAUGAUGAUGAUGAUGAUGAUGAUGAUGAUGAUGAUGAUAUGGUGAUGACAAUGAUGAUAAUGAUGAUGAUAAUGCUGCUGAUAAUGAUUAAUGAUAAGGGUGAUGAAGAUGUUAUUGAUGUGCGCGCAAAGACACGAAUGCCAUAUAAUGAAUAACCAAGUUUUUGUGGUUGUACUUAAGUCAUACCUUUAUACUUAUUAGUUUUUACAGAUUUAACUCUAUUUGGAUAAAAGAAGUAACGAUUGCAUUUCCAAUUAUCGGAUUUUUUCUUUAAUUGUUAUAGUGAACACCUAUAUGUGCUUAGGUGAGUCUGAUUAAGGCUGAACAUGUAAGAACAAUUAUGAAAAGACUUCUCUCUUCCUACAUUUUUCCUCAUUUCCUUUUCUUAUCUUAAGUUUUCUAUCGAAUCCCCAAGUUUUGCAUUUUAUCGUAUCGUUAUAAAUUCUUGACAUUCCCUACAAGAUUAAAAUAUUUGAAAUCAUUUUAUAUGACGAUUUCAAAAGCAGCCAUCAUUGACAUUUAUUUUUUAAUCGCAUGCCGUAUUUUUUACGCAUUAAAUACGCACAAUGUUUAUUUGCUUGCACUUUUUCAAAGAUAUUCUAAUCAAUGAAAACGAAUAAAUUUUGAAAUUUCGAAAAAAUCAAAAACCACCCUAAAACAAAAAAGUAAUGUUAAAUAUGUAGCUAAAGAAUACUUAAUAAAUGAUUUUUCAAAAUAUCGAAAUGUAAUUAAAAUGUCAAGAAUACGACGAUUGUAUGCGCUUUUCUAUAUACAGCUUUGCGCAAUAGCAAAAAGUCCACCAUUAAUGCAUAAAGCCGUAUUCAAUGUAAUUCCAAGCGAAUAUGAACACGAUAAAAUAGCAGUGUUUUGCAAGAAACGAUUGAUAGACGCCCUGUGUAAUACCUGUCACUUUUUUAUUCUCACUUUUCACAGUACUUUUAUAAAGUAUUUCGACAGAGGCCCGUACACAAGAUUAAGAUAUCCGUGUAAUUCUCGGGUCUUGGUCUCAUUUUUUUGUGAUUAUUACAUAGAAACACGACGAGGUUUAAUGUAGACUAGGCUAGGCUAUAUUUUAAUUUUGCGUGAUUUUCAUUAGCUACCGCUUUGAAACUGCGCCAGGCAGAAGCUGACGGACAUUAUUAUUAUAAUUAUUUGUAUGUUUAUCGUAUACAUUCUUUCAACCUUCGGCCAAACUAUAUGGUCAAGAACUCGUUAUAACGUGAUAUCAUAGAUAAGGUCUAUUCUUUUUUUCUUAAUUAAAACAAUUAUCGAUGUCAAAGAUGUAGCCGACGAUAUUCUCUAUUGAAUAUUCAUAUUGCAUUGUUAGAAAGUAGAUAAUAUGGUUUACUGGUGGAUUAUACUAUUGCAUCUGCCAGAAAUAAAAGAAAAAGGAUAGACCAUCGAGUUCAUGGGCAUUUUCGCCAUAAGAAAGAAAAGAAAACAGAAAGGUCAGCUUCCCGCCGACGUGUUAAGCUAUUGUCGCAUGAAGAGGACGCGACUACAAUAAAGAUUGUAAUUUUUUUAUCAACUUAGCCGUGCCAUUGCGUUUCGCUAAGAAAUGUCGCGACUCGAUGUUUAUUCAGUUAACGGAAAAGAGAUAUGGCCUUUUCCGCUAUAAUUUUCCUCGAGAUUUAAGAGAUACAAUCUUAUCCAAGUGGCCUUAGGUGCAAUUUUGUCGUUAAGAGAGUCUAUUGUAGUGACGAUUGAUCAUUGUUUUCUAAAAGAACAAAGAAUGGAAGAUGAAAUGUAGACGUUGAGCUGCUAAAUCGAUUAAUCGGCAUAAAAUAAUCAUUAAUUAUGAAAGGACUUUGCGCAUAAUUGUACGUGUAUCAUAAGUUUAUCUUUCUUGUAGUUGAUAAGUUCAGAAGCAUAGUUUAUAUUAUUAUUAUUAUCAUGACGUAUACAAUUAUAUCGUAUGUAUAUUACGAGAAAACGUUUUGUGUAACGAAGGCAUACGGUCCCCUUUACAAUUUAAUGAACUCAGCGCGGAAUAGUCGCUAAUUAGACGAAUAUUUCGUGUAUCGACGUUCUGCAGAAGCUAAAUUUUGCCGCGAUGACGUACCGACGAAUUCUUUUCAAUCGUUAUUUUUUGUUUCUUUCUUUUUUUAUAACUUUCCAUGGGUAUCUCUUAUUUUAUUUGAUCUUGCUUAGAGUAUUUGUGUAUUGAACUUUGUUUGUUUAUCUGUAUACUUACUCACUUGUGUUUUAUGUUUACUAUGAAUCAAUUCGUUUAACUAACACUGUGUUAUUGCGGCGAAAUGCUUAAAUGUAAGGGUCGAGGAUCGUCUGUGCCUUCGAAUGCUCGUCAGCACGAUUUAAUGAUUGUAAUAACAGCAGCAUCCACUUUUGUGAUUUCCGUAAGCAAUUGUUCAGUUUUUUUUCAUACUUUCAGUAAUGCUUAUAUAGAAUAGCUUGUAUACCCUAAAGAGUGUUUCAAUAAACGACAAUGAAAUCAAAGAC